This 1484-nucleotide ribosomal RNA is filed under the name Parasynechococcus marenigrum WH 8102. RNAcentral describes it as "Synechococcus sp. WH 8102 Bacterial small subunit ribosomal RNA". It matches the Rfam family "Bacterial small subunit ribosomal RNA". The record is from Rfam by way of RNAcentral. Lineage: Bacteria; Bacillati; Cyanobacteriota; Cyanophyceae; Synechococcales; Prochlorococcaceae.
ACAACGGAGAGUUUGAUCCUGGCUCAGGAUGAACGCUGGCGGCGUGCUUAACACAUGCAAGUCGAACGAACCUUCGGGUUAGUGGCGGACGGGUGAGUAACGCGUGAGAAUCUGCCCUCAGGAGGGGGAUAACGGUUGGAAACGACCGCUAAUACCCCAUAUGCCGCGAGGUGAAAUGAAUUUCGCCUGAGGAUGAGCUCGCGUCUGAUUAGCUAGUUGGUGGGGUAAAGGCCUACCAAGGCAUCGAUCAGUAGCUGGUCUGAGAGGAUGAUCAGCCACACUGGGACUGAGACACGGCCCAGACUCCUACGGGAGGCAGCAGUGGGGAAUUUUCCGCAAUGGGCGAAAGCCUGACGGAGCAACGCCGCGUGAGGGAUGAAGGCCUCUGGGCUGUAAACCUCUUUUAUCAAGGAAGAAGAUCUGACGGUACUUGAUGAAUAAGCCACGGCUAAUUCCGUGCCAGCAGCCGCGGUAAUACGGGAGUGGCAAGCGUUAUCCGGAAUUAUUGGGCGUAAAGCGUCCGCAGGCGGCCCUUCAAGUCUGCUGUUAAAGAGUGGAGCUUAACUCCAUCAUGGCAGUGGAAACUGUUGGGCUUGAGUGUGGUAGGGGCAGAGGGAAUUCCCGGUGUAGCGGUGAAAUGCGUAGAUAUCGGGAAGAACACCAGUGGCGAAGGCGCUCUGCUGGGCCAUCACUGACGCUCAUGGACGAAAGCCAGGGGAGCGAAAGGGAUUAGAUACCCCUGUAGUCCUGGCCGUAAACGAUGAACACUAGGUGUCGGGGGAAUCGACCCCCUCGGUGUCGUAGCCAACGCGUUAAGUGUUCCGCCUGGGGAGUACGCACGCAAGUGUGAAACUCAAAGGAAUUGACGGGGGCCCGCACAAGCGGUGGAGUAUGUGGUUUAAUUCGAUGCAACGCGAAGAACCUUACCAGGGUUUGACAUCCUGCGAAUCUCUUGGAAACGAGAGAGUGCCUUCGGGAACGCAGUGACAGGUGGUGCAUGGCUGUCGUCAGCUCGUGUCGUGAGAUGUUGGGUUAAGUCCCGCAACGAGCGCAACCCACGUCUUUAGUUGCCAGCAUUUAGUUGGGCACUCUAGAGAGACCGCCGGUGAUAAACCGGAGGAAGGUGUGGAUGACGUCAAGUCAUCAUGCCCCUUACAUCCUGGGCUACACACGUACUACAAUGCUACGGACAAAGGGCAGCAAGUUCGCGAGGACAAGCAAAUCCCAUAAACCGUGGCUCAGUUCAGAUCGUAGGCUGCAACUCGCCUACGUGAAGGAGGAAUCGCUAGUAAUCGCAGGUCAGCAUACUGCGGUGAAUACGUUCCCGGGCCUUGUACACACCGCCCGUCACACCAUGGAAGUUGGCCACGCCCGAAGCCGUUACUCCAACCCUCGGGAGGAGGACGUCGAAGGUGGGGCUGAUGACUGGGGUGAAGUCGUAACAAGGUAUCCGUACCGGAAGGUGCGGAUGGAUCACCUCCUAA